CUUAAGCAUAUCAAUAAGCGGAGGAAAAGAAACCAACAGGGAUUGCCCUAGUAACGGCGAGUGAAGCGGCAACAGCUCAAAUUUGAAAUCUGGCGCAAGCCCGAGUUGUAAUUUGUAGAGGAUGCUUCUAGGUAGCGACCGGUCUAAGUUCCUUGGAACAGGACGUCAUAGAGGGUGAGAAUCCCGUAUGUGACCGGCCCGCACCUUCUACGUAGCUCCUUCGACGAGUCGAGUUGUUUGGGAAUGCAGCUCUAAAUGGGAGGUAAAUUUCUUCUAAAGCUAAAUACCGGCCAGAGACCGAUAGCGCACAAGUAGAGUGAUCGAAAGAUGAAAAGCACUUUGGAAAGAGAGUUAAAAAGCACGUGAAAUUGUUGAAAGGGAAGCGCUUACAACCAGACUUCUGGGCGGUGUUCCGCCGGUCUUUUGACCGGUCUACUCGCCGUCCCGAGGCCAACAUCAUCUGGGACCGCUGGAUAAGACCUCAGGAAUGUAGCUUCCCUCGGGAAGUGUUAUAGCCUGUGGUGAUGCAGCGCGUCUCGGGUGAGGUCCGCGCUUCGGCAAGGAUGUUGGCGUAAUGGUUGUCAGCGGCCCGUCUUGAAACACGGACCAAGGAGUCUAACAUCUAUGCGAGUGUUCGGGUGUCAAACCCCUACGCGUAAUGAAAGUGAACGGAGGUGGGAAGCGUAAGCUGCACCAUCGACCGAUCCUGAUGUCCUCGGAUGGAUUUGAGUAAGAGCAUAGCUGUUGGGACCCGAAAGAUGGUGAACUAUGCCUGAAUAGGGUGAAGCCAGAGGAAACUCUGGUGGAGGCUCGCAGCGGUUCUGACGUGCAAAUCGAUCGUCAAAUUUGGGUAUAGGGGCGAAAGACUAAUCGAACCAU
RNAcentral lists this ribosomal RNA (879 nucleotides) under Ramularia abscondita. RNAcentral's name for it is "eukaryotic LSU rRNA". It matches the Rfam family "Eukaryotic large subunit ribosomal RNA", at positions 33 to 943 of the family's 3401-position model. The record is from RNAcentral. Lineage: Eukaryota; Fungi; Ascomycota; Dothideomycetes; Mycosphaerellales; Mycosphaerellaceae. RNAcentral also lists the same sequence under 1 other name.